RNAcentral lists this ribosomal RNA (253 nucleotides) under uncultured bacterium. RNAcentral's name for it is "partial 16S ribosomal RNA". It matches the Rfam family "Bacterial small subunit ribosomal RNA", at positions 524 to 776 of the family's 1533-position model. The record is from RNAcentral.
UACGUAGGGUGCAAGCGUUGUCCGGAAUUAUUGGGCGUAAAGAGCUCGUAGGCGGUCUGUCGCGUCUGCUGUGAAAACUCAGGGCUUAACCCUGAGCUUGCAGUGGGUACGGGCAGACUAGAGUGCGGUAGGGGAGACUGGAAUUCCUGGUGUAGCGGUGAAAUGCGCAGAUAUCUGGAGGAACACCGGUGGCGAAGGCGGCAUCCUGGACCGGCAUUGACGCUGAGGCGCGAAAGCCAGGGGAGCAAACGGG